UGUGGGCUUUAUUCAUCCGAAAGUGGACUCGUUUCUGAUGUGUCUGCUCGGGGCUCUACAGUGGUUGAUGAGAUCAGCAAGACUGAAGAAGACCUUGAAUGUGAGGAUUCACUAACCUCAACCUCGUCUGAUUCUGUGUGUUUGCUUCCA
Molecule: long non-coding RNA, 150 nt
Organism: Pristis pectinata (smalltooth sawfish)
Lineage: Eukaryota; Metazoa; Chordata; Chondrichthyes; Rhinopristiformes; Pristidae
Exons: 3
Source: RefSeq, a predicted model, not a curated record